RNAcentral lists this ribosomal RNA (402 nucleotides) under uncultured bacterium. RNAcentral describes it as "bacterial SSU rRNA". It matches the Rfam family "Bacterial small subunit ribosomal RNA", at positions 356 to 773 of the family's 1533-position model. The record is from RNAcentral.
GGGGAAUAUUGGGCAAUGGGCGCAAGCCUGACCCAGCAACGCCGCGUGAAGGAAGAAGGCUUUCGGGUUGUAAACUUCUUUUAAGAGGGAAGAGUAGAAGACGGUACCUCUAGAAUAAGCCACGGCUAACUACGUGCCAGCAGCCGCGGUAAUACGUAGGUGGCAAGCGUUGUCCGGAUUUACUGGGUGUAAAGGGCGUGCAGCCGGGUCUGCAAGUCAGAUGUGAAAUCCAUGGGCUCAACCCAUGAACUGCAUUUGAAACUGUAGAUCUUGAGUGUCGGAGGGGCAAUCGGAAUUCCUAGUGUAGCGGAGAAAUGCGUAGAUAUUAGGAGGAACACCAGUGGCGAAGGCGGAUUGCUGGACGAUAACUGACGGUGAGGCGCGAAAGUGUGGGGAGCAAAC